CUCGUAGGCGGCCAACUAAGUCAGACGUGAAAUCCCCAGGCUCAACCUGGGAACUGCGUCUGAUACUGGAUGGCUUGAAUUCGGGAGAGGGAUGCAGAAUUCCAGGUGUAGCGGUGAAAUGCGUAGAUAUCUGGAGGAAUACCGGUGGCGAAGGCGGCAUCCUGGACCGACAUUGACGCUGAUGAGCGAAAGCGUAGGGGAGACAAACG
RNAcentral lists this ribosomal RNA (209 nucleotides) under uncultured bacterium. Its description in RNAcentral is "partial 16S ribosomal RNA". It matches the Rfam family "Bacterial small subunit ribosomal RNA", at positions 568 to 775 of the family's 1533-position model. The record is from RNAcentral.